Manis pentadactyla (Chinese pangolin) is the source of this 1700-nucleotide long non-coding RNA. RefSeq lists it as uncharacterized. The record is from RefSeq and is a predicted model, not a curated record. The transcript has 2 exons. Lineage: Eukaryota; Metazoa; Chordata; Mammalia; Pholidota; Manidae.
CGUCCGCCCCGCGCGAGCCUUCGCCCCGACCCUCUCCUCCCCCGGCGCCGCGGGAGGAGGGACCGGGGUGAAGCGUGCGGCCGCCAGCCGCCCCCAGGCAGCGGCCCCGGCCUGCGAGCGAGUUCCGGCGCUCCCUGCACUUCUCAGGAGUCGGGGUUCGUUAACCAGUUCCGGGACCGACCCGGACACACCCAGGGCGGGCGCUGUGCCCCCCAGAUCGUGCCCCUCAGACUCGACUCUGAUCAGAUGUGCUCCCGGAGUUCUUCACCCGCAUCAAGCCAACCGUGCCGGUUGCACUGAAUUCCCAGUCGCUCUGCUUCCAGGGGUCAUCUGAUAAGCUCGGCGCGCUCCGCGGUCGGUACACUGGGGGUUGGAUGCCAACUCAGGAAUUACGCGCACUGUACUCCGGAAUGGAAGUCCUGCCGGUGGGUUCCUUGUCAGUAAAAUGGAAAUAAUCCGUCAGAGAAUGAGAUGCAAACGCAAAUGGAAUGCUUAGGACUGAGCCCUCACAGGGGAAACAUUUACACUGUUAUCUAAUGUUAGUACCUUAAAGAAGCAGUGGUUUAUCUAAAUCUAACAAUAGGUGAAAAAUUAAAUUAAACUCCUUCAGCCUACUGACACUUCCCUCUUCUUUCUGGGCUAACCUUCUGUGAAACAAGUUGCUCCAGAAUAUUAAUCUUAAAGUACACAUUAUGCCGCACCCAAGAGAUCUCUAAGGACCUUCUCCCUUUGACAUUAAAACCUAUGAAAAUAAAUAAAGGAAAUAUUUUCUAAAAUGGAGUGAGAGAGCCAUGAAGGGGCAGUCAGGUACCACUCCUUGCAGCUUACACGACCAGCAGAAAGAAGGAAGAAAAUAAUUAUCUUGACAAGGGGGUAUAUUUUUUCAAAUAGGACUUUCAUCUCCUGCUUUUAAGAAAAAGAAGGAAGAUCUCUCUUUGCCCCAGCAACAGUGCACUAACUAGCCAUUACUUUUCAGCCAAUGAGAAAUCUCCACAACCUCAAACUCUUGUUCUUUUCCAAUAAAUUUCUAUUUUUUGCCUCUAUUGAUUAUUUUUAACUGAAGAAUAACUGCAAUACAAUAUUAUAUUAGUUUCAGGUAUACAACAUAGUGAUUUGAUAUGUAUAAACAUUAAGAAAUGGUUACUAAAAUAAGUCUAGUUACCACCUGUCACUAUAAAAAGUUAUUACUAUAUUACAGAAUGUAUUCCUUAUGCUGUACAUUACAUCCCCGUGUCUUACUUAUUUUAUUGCUGUAAGAUUGUACCUCUUAAUUAAUCUCUUUUACCUAUUUUAUCCCCAUACCUCCCUCUCCUCUGGCAACUAUUAGUUUGUUCUCUAUUAUCUAUGAGUCUGUUUCUGUUUUGUGUUGUUUGUUCAUUUGUUUUAUUUUUUAGAUUCCACAUGUAAGUGAAAUCAUAUGGUAUUUGUCUGAUUUAUCUGUCUUAUUUCACUAAUUAUAAUCCCUUUAGGUCCUUCCAUGUUGUCACCAGUGGCAGGAUUUCAUUCUUCUGUGGCUGAGUAGUAUUCUUGUAUAUAUGUAUUAAAUCCUCUUUAUCCAGUCAUCUACUGGUGGACACCUAAGUGGCUUCCAUAUCUUGGUUUUUAUAAGUAAUGCUGCAAUGAACAUAGAGGUACAUGUAUGUUUUUGAAUCAAUGUUUUCAUUUUCUUUGAAUAAAUACCCAAAAGUGGAAUUGCUGGA